This 506-nucleotide ribosomal RNA is filed under the name uncultured bacterium. Its description in RNAcentral is "partial 16S ribosomal RNA". It matches the Rfam family "Bacterial small subunit ribosomal RNA", at positions 29 to 523 of the family's 1533-position model. The record is from RNAcentral.
AGUGAACGCUGGCGGUAGGCCUAACACAUGCAAGUCGAACGGCAGCACAGGAGAGCUUGCUCUCUGGGUGGCGAGUGGCGGACGGGUGAGGAAUACAUCGGAAUCUACUCUGUCGUGGGGGAUAACGUAGGGAAACUUACGCUAAUACCGCAUACGACCUACGGGUGAAAGCAGGGGACCCUCGGGCCUUGCGCGAUUGAAUGAGCCGAUGUCGGAUUAGCUAGUUGGCGGGGUAAAGGCCCACCAAGGCGGCGAUCCGUAGCUGGUCUGAGAGGAUGAUCAGCCACACUGGAACUGAGACACGGUCCAGACUCCUACGGGAGGCAGCAGUGGGGAAUAUUGGACAAUGGGCGCAAGCCUGAUCCAGCCAUACCGCGUGGGUGAAGAAGGCCUUCGGGUUGUAAAGCCCUUUUGUUGGGAAAGAAAUCCAGCUGGCUAAUACCCGGUUGGGAUGACGGUACCCAAAGAAUAAACACCGGCUAACUUCGUGCCAGCCGCCGCCGUAA